CUGGGAUGAUAUUGGUGAAAGAAAAUUGUUAAGACUUGAGAUAGUGCAAUAAAAUAUGGAAAAGUUUCAGAUAAUUGAGGAGUAGCUCUAUCAAUUUAAAGCACGUAGAAAAGCUAUGUAAAUAAUAGGAAGAGAGAGUUAGAACUUCAAAUAGGGCACUAUGUUCUCUUUAAAGUAUCUUUUACUAUGGGUGUAUAAGAUUUGAAAAUUUGAAGCAAGCUUAGUUCCAGAUAUGUGGAUCAAUUCAAAAUUUUAGAUAGAGUAAUAGAAGUAGAAUUCUAAUAAGCAU
RNAcentral lists this long non-coding RNA (289 nucleotides) under Elaeis guineensis (African oil palm). RNAcentral's name for it is "long non-coding RNA (EGUI_LNC036035)". Lineage: Eukaryota; Viridiplantae; Streptophyta; Magnoliopsida; Arecales; Arecaceae. The record is from RNAcentral.